AAGCCAUGAUGAGGGCAUUGUUUCAACAAAGUGUUGUAUAUCUCCCAGGUCUCAUGGAAAGGUUCUCUAAAAAAUUGCAAAAAAUUAAAGAUCUUGUCACGAAGCUC
This is a small nucleolar RNA of Prosopis cineraria, 107 nucleotides long. The record is from RefSeq and is a predicted model, not a curated record. Lineage: Eukaryota; Viridiplantae; Streptophyta; Magnoliopsida; Fabales; Fabaceae.